UUACCAAAUCUUGACAUCCUUUGACAACUCUAGAGAUAGAGCCUUCCCCCUUCGGGGGACAAAGUGACAGGUGGUGCAUGGUUGUCGUCAGCUCGUGUCGUGAGAUGUUGGGUUAAGUCCCGCAACGAGCGCAACCCUUAAGCUUAGUGCCAUCAUUAAGUUGGGCACU
RNAcentral lists this ribosomal RNA (169 nucleotides) under Staphylococcus aureus. RNAcentral's name for it is "partial 16S ribosomal RNA". It matches the Rfam family "Bacterial small subunit ribosomal RNA", at positions 971 to 1139 of the family's 1533-position model. Lineage: Bacteria; Bacillati; Bacillota; Bacilli; Caryophanales; Staphylococcaceae. The record is from RNAcentral.